Molecule: long non-coding RNA, 849 nt
Organism: Solanum tuberosum (potato)
Lineage: Eukaryota; Viridiplantae; Streptophyta; Magnoliopsida; Solanales; Solanaceae
Exons: 4
Source: RefSeq, a predicted model, not a curated record
UCGAAAUGGAAGUCCCUAGCUUCAAUUUUUUCUUCGGACCUUGUUUGUGAGCAAGGGAAAAAUCAAAGUAUGAGUUUUCACUCAUGCAACUGAAAAACUCUAUUUUAUGGGUUUAUAAAGCUUUGAUUUUUUGUAUUGAAAGAGAAAUUAGGACAAAAGUGUACAAGUUUCUCCAUCCUAAGUUCUUAUUUCUCCGUUUAUUACUACUAUUACCACAUUUUUCUGCUUUCAUCUCCUGAUGUUUACUUCUCUUUCUUAAUUCUCCCCGUCUUAUUCUAUUUUUGAAUAAAUUUGGAUUUGUGAUCAUAUUUGGUAGAUGGAUCUUUGAUGUUAUAAGCGGGUGCUUACUAUUGAAAUUGAGGAUCUGUUGUAUUGCGGUUAAUGUAACAUGCCUAAUAGUGCCCUAAAAAUAUUCUUUGUAAAAGGUACUUUUCUCUUCCAUUUUUUACUCUUUGGAUUUCUCAUGCCUCUCUUACAUCUCUUGAGAAUUUCAACAAAGUGCGUCAUAGUUUUCUUACUUUGAUACAAGUAUAUCGCAAAACCAACUCUAACUUUGUUUGUGCACAGUGGGUGUCGAGGCCAAAUUUCAGAUUCAUUGUCCGAGGAAAAAUGAAGAAUAAGGGGAAGCGAUUUUGGCUAAAGGGUACCAAUAGGACAAGCUUUGCGGAGAGUUUAAUGGGAAGACAUUUGAAUGGAUGAAAGUUCCUUUGCAUCAACUAUAGAAGAUAUAUUUAGUUUUUGAGCUCCUGUUAUUUAACUGGAACUACAACGAUGAUAAAAUUUCUUUUACAUAUGUUUUUAUGCAUUAUGCAAUGACAAUCAUAAUCAAAGCUCAAAUUUUCCUUUUCA